UCUUAAUAUAUAUAUAUAUAUUGAUUUGAUUAUAAAAUAUAUAUUAUUUUAUUAAAAAUUUGAUAUAAAUCAAAUUUAGAUUCUUAGCCUGACUAUGUUAUGAACCCUAUUAAUUGGAGUCCAUGAAUUGAUACUUUGAGCUCAUGAUUUUAUUUCUGCGCUAUCAUAGGGUAUAAGUGCAGUAUUUCGAUCCUAUCAC
RNAcentral lists this long non-coding RNA (199 nucleotides) under Elaeis guineensis (African oil palm). Its description in RNAcentral is "long non-coding RNA (EGUI_LNC004787)". Lineage: Eukaryota; Viridiplantae; Streptophyta; Magnoliopsida; Arecales; Arecaceae. The record is from RNAcentral.